Suncus etruscus (white-toothed pygmy shrew) is the source of this 1838-nucleotide long non-coding RNA. RefSeq lists it as uncharacterized. Lineage: Eukaryota; Metazoa; Chordata; Mammalia; Eulipotyphla; Soricidae. The record is from RefSeq and is a predicted model, not a curated record. The transcript has 2 exons.
CAUUUAUUCCAUGUGUAAACUUAAAUCAUGUUGGUAUGAGUUAUUUUUGUUGGGACCCUGGUUGAGGUGUUUUUAGACAAUAACAUCAUGACAUUACCAAUCCAAUGUCUACUGUUUUGCGCCAGCUAGUGUUUUUAGUGUCACUCAAGCCCUGAGUAUGUACCCUGCUGUUAAGAACGUCAGCAGUUAAAGUUGAUUCAAGAUUUCUUUGUUUUAAGGCAGUGUACUGGGCAAAAAAAAAAAAACAAGCAAUAAAAAAGGGGAAUGGGGCGUGCUAGUGUUUGAAUAUGCUCUCUUGUUGCUUUUAAUCUGUGCCUCUGUGCAUUAAUAUUUGAAUGCAUGCAUUGCCAGCAUGAAAUUGAUCUUAAAAUAACUGCAGUUUUCCAGAAAACACUCACAAACCAAUAAAUUGUAACAAAACAUUCCAUUUGUUUAAUGGACGUAUGUGAAUAUACAGUAUAGAAAAAUAGGCUAAUCAAAAAACGGUUAAGUCCUUAACUUCAAGUGUGGUAUAUAAAUGGACACUGUCAAUGUUCAUAACUUGGGUAUCUGGUCAAAAUAAUGCUUAGGAAACAUUUUAUUAAAAUUGAGCUAAAUUGUCUCAAGUUCUUUUAUUCAUAUAAUAAAGGUUGAAAGAAUGGGGGACAUAAACAUUUUCUGUUUCUAUGUUUGUGAAAUUGUUUGACACAACCUUGACAGUAUCCUUUAAUGGCAUAUGGAGUUAUUGUACUGUUAACAAACUUUCUAUGUUCCUGGAACUAGUUUAAUAGUAAAAAAAUCGUUUUCAGUAAGUUGAUGUUUGCAACCUAUAAGCAGGUGAAAUCUGUAUGCGACCUGUUUAUAAGUUGUAUUAGUUUAGUCCUUGUAAACAGUGGAAAAGUAAGCCAUGAGGAGAGCGAUUUAACCAGCUUUAAAAGGACCUAAGAUGUGCUUUCUAAGCACUUUGGAUCAAAGGAGACUCACUCAGACAGGACUUCAGCAGCCUUUUGAGUAUGGACAAGUCAGCAUAAAUAAAGAAUGACAAGGCAGCAGCAAGAGCUUCAACAACAGAGAAGUGAAGGCAUAAGAUACUUUGGUGAUAGUAAGCAACUUUACAAAAGCUAGUUAAAUCUGCUUAUUGCAACUGAAAAUAUCGAAGAAAGUCUAGCAGAAAGGAGCUUCGCCUUUUGGAACUUCAAUGAGAUAGUUGCCACAGUCACUAGGUCUAGCAUUUAGACCUGCAAGGAAGGGCAAUAAGCAUUAGGUAAGGAUUGAAUUUGAAUUUUUUCACUAAUUAACGAGUGAUUUUUUUGUAAAGCAAGGUAAGAGUAAUCUUUUUGAUUUGCAGGUUGAAUGAGAACCUACUUGCCCAAAUGAGGAAUGUCUUUCCUACCAUCUUAAAUACGAAGGUUUCUCGCUGGAUCAUCUGGAAUAAAUGGAUGGAUUUUAAAUUUAAAUGUAGUUACACUCAUUUCUGGGAAAAACAGCAACUCUCAAGUGAAUACCAGUAAACUCAAGGAAGCAAAUACAAAAGGGGGCAAUGGGUAAGAUUUGUCAAGCCAACCUGGAUUACUGCUAACACUCACCAAAAUGCCUGGUAAUGACAAGAAAUGAAAGCAUGGUUUUACAAGUUCAUACAACACAAAAAGUUCUAAUGGCUCAUGGGAUUCCAGUAGUGAAUAAGCAUGCUAUUGUGCAGAGAUCAUGUACGGAUUUUUAGCCUACUCAAAUUUCAAACUACAAUGGUUUUUUUUCUGAUUGAGAUCAGAAGAGGUGGUCUGUGAUGGACUAAAAUGUCUCAUUUGUAGUAUAAUGAAAUGUUUACAGAAAGAAAAUUUUCAUUAAAAUAUUUUUAGAAA